Non-coding RNA from Trichonephila clavipes, 76 nucleotides. The record is from the annotation of a GenBank genome assembly. Lineage: Eukaryota; Metazoa; Arthropoda; Arachnida; Araneae; Nephilidae.
UUGUAGCGCACUGGAUAGCGCGCGCGCGUUGGACUUCUUAUCCAAAGGCUAUGCGUUCGAAUCCCACCUUAAAUAG